This 269-nucleotide ribosomal RNA is filed under the name uncultured Lachnospiraceae bacterium. RNAcentral's name for it is "partial 16S ribosomal RNA". It matches the Rfam family "Bacterial small subunit ribosomal RNA", at positions 73 to 339 of the family's 1533-position model. Lineage: Bacteria; Bacillati; Bacillota; Clostridia; Lachnospirales; Lachnospiraceae. The record is from RNAcentral.
UUCGGAUUGAAGCAACUGUGACUGAGCGGCGGACGGGUGAGUAACGCGUGGGUAACCUGCCUCAUACAGGGGGAUAACAGUUGGAAACGGCUGCUAAUACCGCAUAAGCGCACGGCAUCGCAUGAUGCAGUGUGAAAAACUCCGGUGGUAUGAGAUGGACCCGCGUCUGAUUAGCUAGUUGGUGGGGUAACGGCCUACCAAGGCGACGAUCAGUAGCCGACCUGAGAGGGUGACCGGCCACAUUGGGACUGAGACACGGCCCAAACUCC